ACUGGCUGACUGGCUGACGGGAACAGCAGGGUGUGAAAUAGUGGUUGUUAUUAGCCCCAGGUGUGCCGGCAAAAUCGUCCCACCAUCUCCUCGCCCCUCCACUUCCGCCCGGGCGUGCCACAAAACCCUUAUCACAUUUUCUGUUAGACACAAAUAUAAAGGUUUAACAUGAAAUUCAUGACCAUAAAGAAGGAGAUAGGUCUCCUCCCCCGUGAACUUUGAGAGUUGCUGCCUAGUAGUAGGUUUGCAAUCGCUUUCUGCAGUCAUAUACUCUCUCCACUCAGGCUCUUCAGGCUCCACUCAGACCUGACGCGCUUCAUAAGCUGGAGCACUUCGACAUUUAAGGUGAAGCUCGUUGUCUUCAGAGAAGAUCCACUCGGAUUCAAGGAAUGUCUCUAAGAUGGCUUGUGUUAUCUGUGUUCCUACAAGGCACCAGCAGUUUUAUGAUCUACAACAACAUUCAAGGCUUAUGUUUGCAAGACGUCCCCAAGAACAACACGGUGCAGUUAAAGCGCUGCGAUGUGACCGCGGAUGUUCAGCAGUGGUCCUGGAAAGACCAGCGCAUGUUGGUGAACAAGGUGACGAAGCGGUGCCUGUCAACUCACCCGGUCAGUCCUGUCCUCACUGUGCCGUGUGACAGCAGCCGUAGCGUCUGGUGGAACUGUCACAGUCACAGGCUGAUCAGCCACAAUGAUUCCCUGGAGCUGAGCACAGAUGGAAGAGAUCUGUUCCUGUCUGGAGGGACCAAACUUUCCAAGUGGUGGUCUCUCGAAGUACAGGAUAUCUGCAAGGAGAGGCAGCGAUUUAGAAGGGGAUCCAGUGAGCAUGAUUACUUUGAAGUGAAGGAAGAAGAUUAUGAAAUCACAGACACGGAAGACGAGAGCAUGGCUGACAAACAGAGAGAGUACCUCAGGUGGUAUUACCGCGUAGAGGAUGCCUUACCCUGGAAAUACUCCAUAUUAGCGCUGUCCUCUGUGUCACUCCUCAUUGGCUGUGUGCUGCUAGUUAAGGAUGUAAUGGAUAACAGGACCAGAAAGAAGAGAGCGAAGCACAAAUCUGCGUCGCUCACACCGAACGGGGAGGAGCUCCAGAUCAUGACUGGCAAAAGAGGCUGCGGUGCUCCAGCCCUAGAAAGUGAGCUAAGCAGCAAGCCCCUUCAGGAUGACUAUGAUACAGCAAAGCCAAAGAUGGGAAACCCUGCAGCUGAGUGCGAGGAGACAAAAAGGCUCUCGCUGCAACCAGAGCUUCAGGAAGAGGAUGUGUAAGGGCUCAGCCAGAGCUGCAAACUGGUUCUCUGCUCACAUGCUGCAAGAGCCAUAACAGAUUUUUUUUAAAAAAAAAAAACUUGGGCUACUCAAGAUUAGUUACUAAUGCAUCUAAUGUGUCAUUAAUAAAAAAAUUUAAAAAAAAACUACA
Molecule: long non-coding RNA, 1416 nt
Filed under: Scleropages formosus (Asian bonytongue)
Lineage: Eukaryota; Metazoa; Chordata; Actinopteri; Osteoglossiformes; Osteoglossidae
Description: lncRNA (ENSSFOG00015025045.1)
Source: RNAcentral